Molecule: transfer RNA, 77 nt
Filed under: uncultured eukaryote
Lineage: Eukaryota
Source: RNAcentral
AUGAAUUUUCAGAAAGAAAUAAUUACUCCGCUUCGUGAUUCAUUGGCAGAAGAGGUCGGGAGAUUGUUUUUUGGUUU